AUUGAACGCUGGCGGCAGGCCUAACACAUGCAAGUCGAGCGGAUGACGGGAGCUUGCUCCUUGAUUCAGCGGCGGACGGGUGAGUAAUGCCUAGGAAUCUGCCUGGUAGUGGGGGACAACGUUUCGAAAGGAACGCUAAUACCGCAUACGUCCUACGGGAGAAAGCAGGGGACCUUCGGGCCUUGCGCUAUCAGAUGAGCCUAGGUCGGAUUAGCUAGUUGUUGAGGUAAUGGCUCACCAAGGCGACGAUCCGUAACUGGUCGGAGAGAAUGAUCAGUCACACUGGAACUGAGACACGGUCCAGACUCCUACGGGAGGCAGAAGUGGGGAAUAUUGGACAAUGGGCGAAAGCCUGAUCCAGCCAUGCCGCGUGUGUGAAGAAGGUCUUCGGAUUGUAAAGCCCUUUAAGUUGGGAGGAAGGGCAGUAAGCUAAUACCUUGCUGUUUUGACGUUACCGACAGAAUAAGCACCGACUAACUCCGUGCCAGCAGCCGCCGUAA
This 500-nucleotide ribosomal RNA is filed under the name uncultured bacterium. RNAcentral describes it as "partial 16S ribosomal RNA". It matches the Rfam family "Bacterial small subunit ribosomal RNA", at positions 30 to 523 of the family's 1533-position model. The record is from RNAcentral.